Molecule: long non-coding RNA, 459 nt
Organism: Mesocricetus auratus (golden hamster)
Lineage: Eukaryota; Metazoa; Chordata; Mammalia; Rodentia; Cricetidae
Exons: 3
Source: RefSeq, a predicted model, not a curated record
GGAGAAACACACACAGAAGGACAACUCCCACCCACGGAGGGACAAGACACUCGGAAAGCAGGUGGAGAACCGAGUGAAUGGUAAACGGCAAGUGCCCUGCCACUGAGUUCUUCCUCCAACCCCACCGCACGAACCAGAGUUCCAGAUAAAACCAAAGCAAUCUCCCCAAGGUGUCCAGCUCUUCCCUGCCCCCUGCGCCUUGGAAGAUGCCAUGCCGCCCACUGGCAACACCUGGGCCGCUCUCCUGGUUCCUGCCUUUCCAGGGUGGUGCCCAGCUCAUACCACAUGCCUGCUUCCUUCUCUGGGCUUCUGUGAUGACUCAGUAACCACCCGAAUACAGAGGCUGGAUGGAGAUUAAUCCCUGCCGUGUGUGAACUUGAUAUAAGCCGAGUCACAAGUAUGUCUCUGAUGGAAUGCGGUUUCUUUAAUUCAACACGGUUUUGAGUGUCUUCCUAAUUA